Ceratotherium simum simum (southern white rhinoceros) is the source of this 481-nucleotide non-coding RNA. NCBI's taxonomy places the organism in Eukaryota, Metazoa, Chordata, Mammalia, Perissodactyla, Rhinocerotidae. The record is from the annotation of a RefSeq genome assembly.
GGGUUGGGGUCUCAGAAGGCAGUGCUGUUGAGGCAUGUCCACCAUGGCCUGGGCUGUGCUCCUCCUCACCCUCCUCACUCAGGGCACAGGGUCCUGGGCGCAGUCAGCCCUGACUCAUCCUCCGUCUGCGUCUGGGGCUCUGGGUCAGUGGGUCACCAUCUCCUGUGCUGGAAGCAGCAGCGACAUUGGGGGUUAUAACUACAUCUCCUGGUACCAACAGCCCCCAGGCACAGCCCCCAAACUCCUGAUUUAUGAUGUCAGUUCUAGAGCCUCAGGGAUCCCUGCUCGCUUCUCUGGCUCCAAGUCUGGCAACACCGCCUCGCUGACCAUCUCUGGGCUCCAGGCUGAGGAUGAGGCAGAUUAUUACUGUAGCUCGUAUGGAAGCAGUAACAAUUUCCACAGUGGUUCCUGGGCCCCAUCUGCCCAGAGUCAGCCUCCUUCAGUGUCCGGGGCUCUGGGGCAGUCAGUCACCAUCUCUUGA